This 273-nucleotide ribosomal RNA is filed under the name uncultured bacterium. RNAcentral's name for it is "partial 16S ribosomal RNA". It matches the Rfam family "Bacterial small subunit ribosomal RNA", at positions 524 to 796 of the family's 1533-position model. The record is from RNAcentral.
UACGUAGGUGGCAAGCGUUGUCCGGAUUUAUUGGGUUUAAAGGGUGCGUAGGCGGCCCUGUAAGUCAGUGCUGAAAUAUCCCGGCUUAACCGGGAGGGUGGCAUUGAUACUGCAGGGCUUGAGUGAAGUCGAGGUAGGCGGAAUUGACGGUGUAGCGGUGAAAUGCUUAGAUAUCGUCAAGAACACCGAUAGUGUAGACAGCUUACUAGGCUUUAACUGACGCUGAGGCACGAAAGUGUGGGGAUCAAACAGGAUUAGAUACCCGCGUAGUCC